AUGAACGCUAGCGGCAGGCUUAACACAUGCAAGUCGAGGGGCAGCACGGGUAGCAAUACCUGGUGGCGACCGGCGCAAGGGUGCGUAACGCGUGAGCAACAUGCCCUAUACAGGGGGAUAAUCCAGGGAAACUUGGUCUAAUAUCCCAUAGUAUUUAGAGGAGGCAUCUUCUAUAAAUUAAAGCUUCGGUGGUAUAGGAUUGGCUCGCGUGACAUUAGCUAGAUGGUGAGGUAACGGCUCACCAUGGCAAUGAUGUCUAGGGGUUCUGAGAGGAAGGCCCCCCACACUGGGACUGAGACACGGACCAGACUCCUACGGGAGGCAGCAGUGAGGAAUAUUGGUCAAUGGACGCAAGUCUGAACCAGCCAUGCCGCGUGCAGGAUGACGGCCCUAUGGGUUGUAAACUGCUUUUCCACGGGAAGAACCCUCCGACGUGUCGGAGACUGACGGUACCGUGGGAAUAAGCAUCGGCUAACUCCGUG
This 482-nucleotide ribosomal RNA is filed under the name uncultured bacterium. RNAcentral describes it as "bacterial SSU rRNA". It matches the Rfam family "Bacterial small subunit ribosomal RNA", at positions 29 to 507 of the family's 1533-position model. The record is from RNAcentral.